AGAGGAGAAGGGAAGGGCCCGAAUCAGCUUCACCAUGAGAUGGCCUUGAGGAUGGAAGUUUGUACUAGGAUGAAACCUUGUACUAAGAUGAUGGAGCAGACAGAUGAAAGAUGGAGGCACUGGUGAAAGAGAGUUGAAAUUAAUUCUGACACAGGAAGCAAAAGUGGAAGUGAAAAACUAAUAAAGAGAUGACUACAGCAUUCCACGUGAGAGAUGAAGUUGAUGUGGACCAGGACAAAUGGUGGAAGUGGUGGGAGGUGUAAGAUACCAAAUAUACUUUGAAGGUAAUGUUAAGAGCACAUGUCAGUGCCCUUUGUGGGGAACUAAAGGGAAAGAACAAAAUCAAGGAUGACUUCAUUUUCUGGGAUAAGCAGAUGAAUGAGAGCUGUCCUUUUCUGAAUGGGAGGCCCGGGAAAGGAUUAUGGGCUAAAUCAAGAUUCUGUUUUGGUCCUAAGCAUAAUAAGAUUGAGAUCCCCAUUUAACAUCCAUGUAGUGAAGUUGA
Molecule: long non-coding RNA, 502 nt
Organism: Cercocebus atys (sooty mangabey)
Lineage: Eukaryota; Metazoa; Chordata; Mammalia; Primates; Cercopithecidae
Exons: 3
Source: RefSeq, a predicted model, not a curated record